AGAGAGAGACAUGCGCGCAUAUCAAUAAGCGGAGGAAAAGAAACUAACUAGGAUUCCCUCAGUAACGGCGAGUGAAGCGGGAAGAGCUCAAAUUUGAAAUCUUCAAGGUUCUACCUUGACGAAUUGUAGUUUAAAGAAGUGUUUUCUGUUGGAGUUUUGGUAAAAGUUCUUUGGAAUAGGACAUCAUAGAGGGUGAGAAUCCCGUAUUUGACCAUUAUUUCAGCUGUGUGAUAACACUUUCAAAGAGUCGGAUUGUUUGGGAAUGCAGUCCAAAAUGGGUGGUAAAUUUCAUCUAAAGCUAAAUAUUGGCGAGAGACCGAUAGCGAACAAGUACCGUGAGGGAAAGAUGAAAAGAACUUUGAAAAGAGAGUUAAACAGUACGUGAAAUUGUCAAAAGGGAAGCGUUUGACACCAGUGUUGUUUUCUCGAAAAUCAAUUAAAAAAGGCAGGAUUUUGUGUUGUAUUGACUUUAUCAGCUUUCUGCACUCUUUUCUUGUCUUUUUUUAAUGCACUUUUCGUUUAACAAGUCAACAUCAAUUUCUCUUGUUAUAAAAGGGUCAUUGGAAGGUGGCUUUCUUUUCGGAGAAAGUGUUUAUAGCCUUUGACUCCUGCAAUCGGAGAGACUGAGGUCUGCAGCGUAGAUCCUUCGGGGUUAGAUACAUUUGUGCUAAGUUAUAGCCUUUCAUAGACAACUUGUUGACUAUGAUCAGUCAUGUAGCUUACUCGCUUAUGCUAUUUUACCUACGCUUAGGAUGUUGAUGUGAUACUGCGAGCA
Molecule: ribosomal RNA, 775 nt
Filed under: uncultured Neocallimastigales
Lineage: Eukaryota; Fungi; Neocallimastigomycota; Neocallimastigomycetes; Neocallimastigales
Description: partial large subunit ribosomal RNA
Rfam family: Eukaryotic large subunit ribosomal RNA
Source: RNAcentral